GAGUUUGAUCAUGGCUCAGAACGUACGCUGGCGGCACGCCUAACACAUGCAAGUCGAACGCAGUAGCAAUACUGAGUGGCAAACGGGUGAGUAUAAUGUGGGAAUCUGCCUUUUGGUUUGGAAUAACACGGGGAAACUUGUGCUAAUACCGAAUAAGCCCUUACGGGGAAAGUUUUAACGCCGAAAGAUGAGCCUGCACUUGAUUAGCUAGCUGGUAAGGUAAAGGCUUACCAAGGCAACGAUCAAUAGCUGUUCUUAGAGGAAGACCAGCCACAUUGGGACUGAGACACGGCCCAGACUCCUACGGGAGGCAGCAGUGGGGAAUCUUGCACAAUGGGGGAAACCCUGAUGCAGCGAUGCCGCGUGAGUGAAGAAGGCCUUUGGGUUGUAAAACUCUUUCGUCGGGGAAGAAAAUGACUGUACCCGAAUAAGAAGGUCCGGCUAACUUCGUGCCAGCAGCCGCGGUAAUACGAAGGGACCUAGCGUAGUUCGGAAUUACUGGGCUUAAAGAGCUCGUAGGUGGUUAAAAAAGUUGAUGGUGAAAUCCCAAGGCUCAACCUUGGAACCGCCAUCAAAACUUUUUAGCUAGAGUGUGAUAGAGGUAAGUGGAAUUUCUAGUGUAGAGGUGAAAUUCGUAGAUAUUAGAAAGAACACCAAAUGCGAAGGCAACUUACUGGGUCACUACUGACACUGAGGAGCGAAAGCAUGGGUAGCGAAGAGGAUUAGAUACCCUCGUAGUCCAUGCCGUAAACGAUGUGUGCUAGACGUUGGAAAUAUAUUUUUCAGUGUCGCAGCGAAAGCAUUAAGCACACCGCCUGGGGAGUACGACCGCAAGGUUAAAACUCAAAUGAAUUGAC
RNAcentral lists this ribosomal RNA (857 nucleotides) under uncultured bacterium. RNAcentral's name for it is "bacterial SSU rRNA". It matches the Rfam family "Bacterial small subunit ribosomal RNA", at positions 9 to 914 of the family's 1533-position model. The record is from RNAcentral.